UACGGAGGGUGCAAGCGUUAUCCGGAUUCACUGGGUUUAAAGGGUGCGUAGGUGGGCAAGUAAGUCAGUGGUGAAAUCUCCGGGCUUAACCCGGAAACUGCCAUUGAUACUAUUUGUCUUGAAUACUGUGGAGGUCAGCGGAAUAUGUCAUGUAGCGGUGAAAUGCUUAGAUAUGACAUAGAACACCAAUUGCGACGGCAGCUGGCUACACAAAUAUUGACACUGAGGCACGAAAGCGUGGGGAUCAAACAGG
RNAcentral lists this ribosomal RNA (253 nucleotides) under uncultured bacterium. Its description in RNAcentral is "partial 16S ribosomal RNA". It matches the Rfam family "Bacterial small subunit ribosomal RNA", at positions 524 to 776 of the family's 1533-position model. The record is from RNAcentral.